Molecule: ribosomal RNA, 254 nt
Filed under: uncultured bacterium
Lineage: Bacteria
Description: partial 16S ribosomal RNA
Rfam family: Bacterial small subunit ribosomal RNA
Source: RNAcentral
UACAGAGGGUGCGAGCGUUAAUCGGAGUAACUGGGCGUAAAGGGGUGCGUAGGCGGUUUAGCGAGUGUGAUGUGAAAGCCCCGGGCUUAACCUGGGAAGUGCAUCGCAAACGGCUAGACUAGAGUAGAUGAGAGGGUGAUGGAAUUUCCGGUGUAGCGGUGAAAUGCGUAGAGAUCGGAAGGAACGUCGAUGGCGAAGGCAGUCACCUGGCAUCAUACUGACGCUGAGGCACGAAAGCGUGGGGAGCAAACAGG